CCUACGGGGGGCAGCAGUGGGGAAUAUUGCACAAUGGGCGCAAGCCUGAUGCAGCCAUGCCGCGUGUGUGAAGAAGGCCUUCGGGUUGUAAAGCACUUUCAGCGGGGAGGAAGGCGUUAAGGUUAAUAACCUUGGCGAUUGACGUUACCCGCAGAAGAAGCACCGGCUAACUCCGUGCCAGCAGCCGCGGUAAUACGGAGGGUGCAAGCGUUAAUCGGAAUUACUGGGCGUAAAGCGCACGCAGGCGGUCUGUCGAGUCGGAUGUGAAAUCCCCGGGCUCAACCUGGGAACUGCAUUCGAAACUGGCAGGCUAGAGUCUUGUAGAGGGGGGUAGAAUUCCAGGUGUAGCGGUGAAAUACGUAGAGAGCUGGAGGAAUACCGGUGGCGAAGGCGGCCCCCUGGACAAAGACUGACGCUCAGGUGCGAAAGCGUGGGGAGCAAACAGGAUUAGAUACCCGAGUAGUC
RNAcentral lists this ribosomal RNA (465 nucleotides) under uncultured Klebsiella sp. RNAcentral's name for it is "bacterial SSU rRNA". It matches the Rfam family "Bacterial small subunit ribosomal RNA", at positions 338 to 795 of the family's 1533-position model. Lineage: Bacteria; Pseudomonadati; Pseudomonadota; Gammaproteobacteria; Enterobacterales; Enterobacteriaceae. The record is from RNAcentral.